RNAcentral lists this ribosomal RNA (392 nucleotides) under uncultured bacterium. RNAcentral describes it as "partial 16S ribosomal RNA". It matches the Rfam family "Bacterial small subunit ribosomal RNA", at positions 523 to 918 of the family's 1533-position model. The record is from RNAcentral.
AUACGGAGGAUCCGAGCGUUAUCCGGAUUUAUUGGGUUUAAAGGGUGCGCAGGCGGCCAUUUAAGUCAGCGGUUAAAUCGUGGGGCUCAACCCCAUUCUGCCGUUGAUACUGGGUGGCUUGAUUGCGGUCGAGGUUGGCGGAAUUCGUUGUGUAGCGGUGAAAUGCAUAGAUAUGACGAAGAACACCGAUUGCGUAGGCAGCUGACCAGACCGCAAAUGACGCUCAUGCACGAAAGUGCGGGGAUCGAACAGGAUUAGAUACCCUGGUAGUGCGCACAGUAAGCGAUGAAUACUUGUUUUCGGCGAUAUAAUGUCGGAGGCAAAGCGAAAGCGAUAAGUAUUCCACCUGGGGAGUACGCCGGCAACGGUGAAACUCAAAUGAAUUGACGGGG